UCUCCGUUGGUGAACCAGCGGAGGGAUCAUUACUGAGUUACCGCUCUACAACCCUUUGUGAACAUACCUAACUGUUGCCUCGGCGGGCAGAGGUCCCUCGCGGAUCUCUCCCGGCAACGCCCUCACGGGCGGAGCGCCCGCCGGAGGAUACCAAACUCUAUUUUAACGACGUUUCUUCUGAGUGGCACAAGCAAAUAAUUAAAACUUUUAACAACGGAUCUCUUGGUUCUG
Molecule: unclassified non-coding RNA, 231 nt
Filed under: plant metagenome
Description: partial contains small subunit ribosomal RNA, internal transcribed spacer 1, and 5.8S ribosomal RNA
Source: RNAcentral